Molecule: ribosomal RNA, 253 nt
Filed under: uncultured bacterium
Lineage: Bacteria
Description: partial 16S ribosomal RNA
Rfam family: Bacterial small subunit ribosomal RNA
Source: RNAcentral
UACGGGGGGGGCAAGCGUUGUUCGGAAUUACUGGGCGUAAAGGGCUCGUAGGCGGCCAACUAAGUCCGACGUGAAAUCCCCAGGCUUAACCUGGGAACUGCGUCGGAUACUGGAUGGCUUGAAUUCGGGAGAGGGAUGCAGAAUUCCAGGUGUAGCGGUGAAAUGCGUAGAUAUCUGGAGGAAUACCGGUGGCGAAGGCGGCAUCCUGGACCGACAUUGACGCUGAUGAGCGAAAGCGUGGGGAGCGAACAGG